RNA transcript from Cebus imitator (Panamanian white-faced capuchin), 1053 nucleotides. It is a transcript of the gene named intraflagellar transport 43, with no coding region annotated. The transcript has 10 exons. The record is from RefSeq and is a predicted model, not a curated record. NCBI's taxonomy places the organism in Eukaryota, Metazoa, Chordata, Mammalia, Primates, Cebidae.
CAGGGACGCGGCUGGGCCGGUCGGUUUCCAGGAAGUGACGUCAGGCGGCCGCGGAGAUGGAGGAUUUGGAGGACUUGGGCGAGGAGCGGCGUUACGGCUUGGCUACCUCCAGGGCCAAGAUGGGUCGCCGAGCUCAACAGGAGUCAGCUCAGGCCGAGAAUCACCUCAAUGGCAAGAAUUCCUCUUUGACUCUGACUGAAGAGACUUCCCCUCCCCAAUUUCCUCGCUGCCGAGAAGGAGGCUGGGCAGACGAUUCCGUGAAGGCUUCAAAAUUUAGGAGGAAAGCUGCUGAAGAAAUAGAAGAUUUUCGCCUCAGACAGCAGAGCCCGAAUGGAUCAGAUUGCGGAGGAGAUAUUCCUAUCAUUCCGGAUCUGGAGGAAGUACAAGAAGAAGACUUUGUUUUGCAGGUCGCAGCCCCUCCCAGCAUCCAGGUAAAGCGGGUGAUGACAUACCGAGACCUAGACAAUGACCUCAUGAAGUACUCAGCCAUUCAGACAUUGGAUGGGGAGAUCGACCUGAAACUCCUCACCAAAGUGCUUGCGCCAGAGCACGAAGUCCGGGAGGAUGACGUCGGCUGGGACUGGGACCAUCUGUUCACUGAUGUGUCCUCAGAGGUCCUCACUGAGUGGGACCCACUGCAAACAGAGAAGGAGGACCCUGCGGGGCAACCCAGGCACACCUGAGCCCAUCACCCACUCUCUAGACAUGAAAAAAUGCAAUGAGCUUAAAGCUAAAGAAGCUUUCUCUUCUUGGAAAAGUUUAUUGCCAAGUGAAGGAGAACAGUUUUUAAGUCAGCUGAUAGGAACUCGAAACUCGCAGUAGAGGAGCAUGUGGGAGAGUUUGCUUCAGGAGGAGGAGGAGUGGGCACUCCUACUGGAAGCUGUCCACUUCUCGGGAGGUUUCAAAGAGUUGCCUGCUAGGGUUCUGGGGUGGGGCCUCCCCUCCUGUGGUGCCCUGGGCCCUCUGUUUGCGACCUUAGUGACGCUGCACUGCCACCUGCAUCACAGGCUUCCAGGCAGCUGCAGCGGAGGGAGCAGGAGGCGGGAGGGAGAA